GACGAACGCUGGCGGCGUGCUUAACACAUGCAAGUCGAACGGAAAGGUCCUGCUUUUGUGGGUUUCUCGAUUGGCGAACGGGUGUGUAACACGUGAGUAACCUGCCCUUGACUUUCGGAUAACUUCAGGAAACUGGGGCUAAUACCCGAUAUGAUCUCCUGCUGCAUGUUGGGGGUUGGAAAGUUUCGGCGGUUGGGGAUGGACUCGCGGCUUAUGAGCUUGUUUGUGGGGUAGUGGCUUACCAAGGUUUUGACGGGUAGCCGGCCUGAGAGGGUGACCGGCGACAUUAGGACUAAGAUACGGAGCAGAAGGCUACGGGAGGCAGUAGUGGGGAGUAUGACAGAAUGGGCGGAAGCCUGAUGCAGAGACGCCGCGUGCGGGAUAACGGCCUUCGGGUGGUAAACAGAUUUCGAAUGUGACGAAGAGGGAGUGACGGUAAUGGGUAAAGAAGCACCGGCUAACUACGUG
RNAcentral lists this ribosomal RNA (468 nucleotides) under uncultured bacterium. RNAcentral's name for it is "partial 16S ribosomal RNA". It matches the Rfam family "Bacterial small subunit ribosomal RNA", at positions 28 to 507 of the family's 1533-position model. The record is from RNAcentral.